CAGCCGAGACCACGCGCGAGGAUCGUUGGGGACUGCGCUGCCGCUACAUGCGGACGGGGCAGCCGAGCGUGUCCGUGUAUGUGACGGCGAGAUGACCAAACAGAAGUCUGAGCUGGUAUGUGUUACUAUUAUUUUAUUAGAGAGGAAACUGUUCAAUGGAAAUGUGUAGUGUUGUUUAUCUACUUUCUUCGUUGCAGAGCGUAAGUAUUUUUAAGGUAGAUAUCGAUAUUAAGAGAGUGAGUAGAGAAGAUUGGAGAAUAUUGCGAUUGGUGAAUAAGAUAAAGUAGAUGAAGAGAAUGGUUGCGAUUGGUUGAGAGGAGAUAGUAGGUGAAGAAAUAGUUACCGUGCUAAAAAUAACUAUAUUUUAGAAUGGAUAUAAUACUACAUAUCAAUAUGAUGUUGAUCAUUUUUUUUUCACAUUACAAGGAACUAGCUGGAUGGCCCGCGCAAUUGCGCGGCUAGCACCCAUAUAAAAUUAUAUAUUUUUAAUAUGACUUUACUUCAAAUUUAUUAAAUAGUUAUCUCGUUGUCUUAAGAUUUUUAAAGACUAAACCUUAUUAUCCUCGCGUUUCUAAUUUCUUUAGUUUCUAAAGUCACAACAGUUGCUACCCCUUACUUCUGUCAUAUUAUUCUUUAUUUGUUUGCUCGAUCUAUCACAGUUUUCUAUUCAUUCUCCUUGGAAUCUUUAAAAAUUGGAUCUAAAAACUUAUAGGUUUUAGAGUUUAUUGUCCUGUUGGGCAUCUUUUUUAUAAUUUCUAGAAGUCCCGUCAAACACUACCAUUAUACUCAUCUAUGAUCGUCCACUGCAUCUUCUCUCUAUUGUCAUUGCUAUUUUAAAAAUCGAACAUAAUUAUCGUUUAGGUUUAUUUUUUUACUUUCUAUAAGUUCCGCCAAAACGUCAGCGACUUUGUCACUGUACUCCUCUACGACUCACCCGCUGCCGCCCUUCUUCAUUGUCAUUGAGAUUUUAAAAUCAAACAGGAUUAUCAUUGGGGUUUAUUUUUUUUUACUUUUUAGAAACCCGAACCUUUAAAAAUUGGAGUUUAUUGUCUUGUUGGAUUUCAUUUUUCUUUUAUAAUUUCUAGAAAUCCCAUUAAACGCUGCCACUAUACUCCUCUAUGACCCGUCCGCCGCAUACUCUUUAUUAGGAUUGUAAAAGUCAAACAUAACUAUCAUUGGAAUUUAUUUAUUUUUACUUUAUAGAAGACUCACCAACCAUCGGCGACUUUGCCAUUGUACUCCUAUACGACUCGACCGCUGCCUCUCAUUUUUAUUAUUAUUGAGAUUUUAAAAAUCAAAUAUGAUUAUCAUUGGGUUUAUUUUUUUACUUUCUAGAAGUCCUGCCACCUACCUUCAAAUUUUCUGAAAUUUUAAAUUUUAAGUUAAUUUUAAAUUAUAUUCCUACUUGAACUCUUCUUUUCUUUUCUUUUUUCUAAUUUUGAUUUUUUUUAUUUUUUAUUCCGAAAUUUAAUUAAUCUCGUAUUGGAUUCUUAUAUGGACUCUUCUUUCAAUAUUCCUUAUUUUUAAUUCCCAAUUUCUGCUAUUUUUAAAUUGUAAUCCUACUUGGACUCUUUUUUUUUUGCUAAUUUCAGAUUUUAUUUUAUUUUUAUUCCGAAUUUUGAUUAAUCUCGUAUUGGGUUCCUAUAUGGAAUCUUCUUUCAAUAUUUCUUAUUUUGAAUUCCGAAUUUCAGCUAUUUUUAGAUUAUAUUCUUACUUAGAUUUUUUUUUUGCUAAUUUCGGAUUUUAUUUUAUUUUUAUUCCGAAUUUAGAUUAAUCUCGUAUUGCGUUCCUUUAUGGACUCUUCUUUCAAUAUUGCUUACUUUUAAUUUCGAAUUUAAGCUAUUUUUAGAUUGUAUUUCUACUUGGACUCUUCUUUUCUUUUUCUUCGAUUAAUGUGGAAAUUUCUAGCCCCCACAGUGAACGUAAAAAUCAAAUAUAAUUAUCAUUGGGUUUAUUUUUUUUUACUUUUUAGAAGACCCGCCAAACGCCUUGACCGAUUGCUUCACGACCUGCCCGUUGUACUUCUUUUUAGUCGUCAUUAAUAUUCUAUUUGAUGUUUUAUUAAUAGUUUUUAGAUGUUCCAUCAACCGCCACCACUCUACUGCAUGUUACUUAAUUAAUCUCGUCAUGUGUUUCAGAUGGUCUUUUCUUUUAGUAAUCUUUAUUUUUUUAUCACCAAUUUUAGUUAUUUAUAAAUUGUAUUCCUAGCUGAUAUCUUAUUUUUCUUUUUCUAAUUUCAGAAUUUAUUUUAUUUUUCGUAUUGUGUUCUUUAGAUUUUUUUUAUUUUUACUUUGAAUUUCAGUUGUUUUAAAAUUGUAUUUCUACUUUAACUCUCUUUUUAAUUUUCCUAAUUUCAGAUUAUAUUUUAUUUUUUAUUCCGAAUUUUAGUUAAUCUACUAUUGGGUUCUUAUAUGUACUCUUAUUUCAAUAUUGCUUAUAUUUAAUUUCGAAUUUUAGUUAAUUUUAAAUUAUAUUCUUACUUGAACUAUUCUUUUCUUUUCCUUUUUCUAAUUUCGAUAUUUAUUUUUUUUAUUCCGAAUUUUAAUUAAUCUCGUAUUGGGUUAUUGUAUGGACUCUUCUUUUAAUAUUCCUUAUUUUAAUUCCUAAUUUCAGCUAUUUUUAAAUUGUAUUCCUACUUAGACUCUUUUUUUGCUAAUUUCGGAUUUUAUUUUAUUUUUAUUUCGAAUUUUGAUUAAUCUCGUAUUGGGUUCCUAUAUGGAAAUUUCUUUCAAUAUUGCUUACUUUUAAUUCCGAAUUUCAGCUAUUUUUAAAUUGUAUUCCUACUUGGACUCUCUUUUUCUUUUUUUUCUUUUUCUCUGAUUAAUGUGGGAAUUUUUAGCCCCCACAGCGAACGUGGUGCCUCCUUUCAAAGCUGUUUUGAUAAUAUAAUAGAUAGAUAUACAUGUGUGCAUACGCAUUAUGUACGUAGAAAUGGAGUGCCAAGAUCCUUUGCUCAAAAAAAGGGCAUUAUAUAUGUACGUAUACCACGUGCACACAUCUAUAAAUAUGUCCUCUAACGCAUGUCUAAAGAAUGAAGAUCGACAACAAAUUCCUGACCUCAAUCAUUAAUAUCAUAUUCAAAGCGUACUCACAUGGACGUGGUAUUCAUGAGCGAUAGGUUACUAGUGCAAACAGUGUUAAAACUGUUACCAGGAAAAUAUCCGAUGUACGAUUAGAGUGUACAAGGUUGCAACUUACGGAGUAUAUAUAACCAAAACACAAGAAGCCUUUUAAUAUACUGACUAUGAAAACUAUGUGCUACAUUAUAUUGGUGUUGGGCUUUCACUUAUUCUAUCUUAUUCAAAUUAUACAAAGGUUAAUUUCAUGGCUGUUGAGGACCGGUGUCUCCAUAUCCCGAUCCAUGACCUAAACCUUCACCAUAUCCACCUCUAGCGCUAUCACCGGCACCUCCACCGUCACCUUUACUCUUCGCAUACUCAUCACCGUAUUGAUUACCAGCCUCACCUAUACCAACGCCGGAACCAAAUCCAUGUCCAAAUCUAUUAGGUCCACCGUACCCACCACCACCUCCACUCCCUCGACCACCAGCCUUAUAGUAUCAAUUAUUAUAUGGCCAGCCGCCGUUAAAUUGACCAAAUCCAACCCCAGAUCCAUAGCCAUCUCCAUAUCCAUUUUGUCCGCCACCUUCCCCUCCACCUCCUCCUCUCCCCCAUGGCAUAGUUUCCAUCAUAAGGGCUAUAACCCCUAGAUUCACCAUACCUAGAGCCCAAACCAGAACUAGAACCAAACCCAUCAUGUUGUCCACCACCUCCGCCUUUGCCACCACCACCACCGUGUGCAAAUGAUGCACCACCAAAGCCAAUAGUUUCACCAUAACCCGAGCCAGACCCUGCACCAUACCCUGAUUCUCUGUUUGUCCCACCACCCCCACCUUUGCCACCACCGCUUCCCAUAGAAUACCCUCCAUCAUAAGGUUUGUAUUUCUUCCCUUCACUAUUUCCAGAACCAGACCCCAAACAAUAACCAAAUCCUCCAUUCCGCCCUCCGCCACCGCCCCCACCCUUUCCACCUCCACUAGCAUAUUGCCCGCUAGAAGGCCCAGAUGCCACAGACUCCCCAUAGCCAGACCCAAAACCUGAACCUGAUCCCCAACCAUUACCAUUGCUUGACCCACCACCGCCUCCUCCACCAGUUGCACUAGCAUAUGCUCCACUAGAAGGCCCAUAAGCUCUAGCCUCUCCAUGUCCUGCCCCAGAACCAGAUCCCCACCCGCCACCAUUUUCUGAGCUACCACCACCUCCUCCUCCACCACCACCUCCGCUUCCAACUUCGACACCAGUGCUGGAAUACCUAUUUACUCUCGUGGCGCUAGACGCUCCAAUGAUCAAUAAGAGCAUAGUGAAGCCAAGAAUUGCGAGCUUAGUGGCAUCCAUUGUGAGCGGAGUAAGAGAAGUGGAAGAUGGACUUCUAUGUGAGUAAUAGUGAUGUAUUUAUAGUAUAUAGUGUUAGUGAGAGUAAUUACAAAAAUGCACGCCUACAAAGGAGAUAUUUUAAAUAAUGAAGUAUGAUCAGUUGAUGAUAUUGAUUUGGGAAGGAAAGAAUCAAAUCAUUAAUACGAGUGCUGGAUCGAAUAUCACAGCGAUCGAGCAUCUGAUGUAGUAAGAAUUUAAUGAUCAGUCACAGCACUAGAUUGUUAAUUUACUGUGAUGAAAUAUCAGUGCAUUGUUUACUGGAGUACUAGUUAUUAUUAGUACUGAAAGCAGCAUCUUCUUCAGAUGUCAAAUGUAUAAGGGAGGCGCCGACCAAGAAGGCAAACAGAAUGGCUCAGAAUUUGUCUACUUAACGUAGGAUCCCUGGGUAUAGAGUCCCCUGCACAGACGUGCAUUGUUCAGACUGACAAUGAAGACGAUCUGCAACGCUGACUUUUUCUUCUUAUUCAUGUAUAAAUUGAUCUGCUUCUUACGAAUUUCUAUGUUCCAAAACAAUAGGAUCUAGAUCGGUCUAAGUAGUUAUAUAUAAGCCAUUUUUUUUUGUCGGUAUACGCUUAUUGAACGUGAGAAACCUUUGGUUGGGCCGAAAAAAAAAUCGAAGCUUGAAUAAAAAAAACCCAAUAACAUUAUAUUUGAAAAUUUGUAAUACCCAAGGAUCCAACGGCCCAUGUAGCCAUGCAUGCAUGUUUCUUUGCAAAAGCAGCCCAUAGUAGCCGAAGCCCAAUAACUGACCGGCUGAACGCCACAGUUGAUGUGUGUCCUCAGAAAAGCCGAUCGACCAGCUCAUCCAGUUCAUGAUCAGCACCGGGUUCACGAUUCCGACGAAAACCGGUCAAAUUCCGUGAAAUUUCGACGUUUCGAUAUGGCUCGGAAUUAAGUUUCGAUUGGAAUUUCGAAGGUUAAACAGUAGAUUUGGUCGAAAUUUAUCAAAAACUGUGACACCGAUAGGGCUCGAAAUUUAGUGGUCAACCGGUAAUGUAAACCUUGAUCAGCACUUAAAUGAUCGAUGUUGGAGAAUUAAAACCGUAGUGUAUCUGUUUGAUCAAAUUUCAACUUAUAUUGUUGACAAUAAGAUUUAAAGUUCUAUACUGGUUUGUUUUGGUAAGUUUACCGUGCUGGAACAUGAAACCUCAUUUAGUUUCUUCGGAAUUCAACGGCAGUAGAGUAGGAGACAUGGUUUGUGUGAGGUACUUAUUAAUUUAGUGGUAUUAUAUAGAGCCAAAGAUUGAUUAUGCUUCAUCAUCAUAUGGUAAGACAACAAGUAAGAACUUACAAAUUGAUUACACAACCACACAUUCAUAUACAGCCAAAGGCAAGGCCUUUAUUCCAUAUAUUAGUUGCAGCACACAAAACAUCUAAUUUAUCAUGUGUAGUACCAGCACACAAAACUUUAAUUCAGUACUUUAAUUCAGAUGAGGGUUUUAUGGGUGCCCACCACCAGACCCGCUUCCUGAGCCGCCUCCGUAGCCACUACCACCUGGACCGCUCCCACCACCUCCGCCGCCGCCACCACCACCGCCGCCGCUAGCAUAAGGUCCAUAAUAUGGCCCACCAGCUUGACCAUAUCCACCGCCAGCACCAUAACCAUACCCGCCGCCUCCACCGCCACCUGCACCGCCGCCACCACCACCGCUAGCAUAAGGUCCAUAAUAAGGCCCACCAGCUUGACCAUAUCCCCCGCCAGCACCAUAACCAUACCCACCGCCUCCACCACCACCGCCGCCACCACCACUCGCAGCUGCUCCGCCACUAGCAUAAGGUCCAUAGUAAGGUCCGUAGUAAGGUCCAUAGUAAGGUCCAUAUGGUCCAUAAUAACCACCUCCACCACCUCCACCGCCACCGCCACCACCUGCCUCCACCGCCUCCGCCUCCGCCCCCACCACCUCCAGCAUAGUAAGGUCCAUAAUAAGGCACAUAUCCUCCUGUUUGGCCACCACCACCUCCCCCACCACCACCGCCACCGCCGCCGGCGGCGUAUCUAGCUACCACCCCCAUCCUCGCAUUGGAUACUCCAAUACUUAGUAGCACGAAGAAGGUAAUAGCCAGAAGCUUGUUUCCAGCCAUUUUGAGCUUAUUCCGGUUGAAGGAUGAGAUAUGGAUGCCAAAGCAAGACUGCACGGUUAUUUAUAGUGCAGGCAGGGAGACCAUGCAAUUAUAUAUUGCAAAAUGACACUUGUAUAUGUAAAUAUAUGUACUAGUGUGACGAGAUGCAGCAGUAUUGCCCUUCGCGAACGAGUAAUACAAAAUGGAGUGGUUUUAAACACAUUAUGACUUUUGCUGGAUAAAUCCCUGCUAGUGAACCUUUAAAUUUUCUGACUUGGCCUGACUGUUACGUUUGGAUUAUAUAUGUGAGUUUAAUAUUUGAUAAUGAUGCUGCAUAAGGCCAGGUCAAGUAUCAAUACCACGUACUCGAGCUCAGGCAUUUGACCAUGCAUCCAUCGCAAAAAAGCAGCAGAUACAGCCAGACUGAUGACAAAAAACAUUUGCCACUAGCAGUAACGCAGAUGACAUUUGUUCUUAUUACCUAUAUAUAAAAAUCUAUGAGGCAUUGACAUUGUGCUGCUUAAUUACAACCAAAUUGUACAUAUGCUCAUUCGUACACUGGCUUUGUCUAAUCCGUGUAACUAGUGCUUUCAGCGCACACUGUACCACUCUGAACACCCUGAACAAAAUAACUGAACGGUUUUGCAGACUGCAGUGUGUUGUUUCACAAAUCAACGCUGCUAUACGUACGAUCUGGGUGUUUACGAUAUUCGUACUAUGAAACGCUUAUGCGUUUAUUAAUGGUGUGCCGUACGUCCGUCUUAUUCACGUUAGAUCAUUGAUAAGUACGCAUAGCAUUUUUCCUUUCGCAAAUCUCACAAAACAUGUAGCAUGCGUGCCAUGCCGUACGUUACUUGACUGAAACAUAUAAAAGCAUGCCUGAUUUCUAAAGCCCAUCGAUGAUAGCAGAUUGAUGAUCCGGACUGCAAUAUACAAAUUAAUCAUGAUUGGCUUCCAAGUGAACUAAGUGUGUGUUCGUUUGAAUCACUACUAAAAAACCAACCGGCUUAUAGAUGCCGAUUCAUUUAAAACUGAUACUUAUAAGUCUUUUCCCACCUCCGAUAUCUUUAAUUAAGAAAUAUAGGUGCCGGUUUAUUAGUUAAAACUGAUACGGUUAGUUAAAAAACUAACACCUAUAAUAUAAUAACCUAUAAUAUAUUAUAGGUAUCAGUUCUGUAAAAAAACCAGCACCUAUUCUAAAUCAAGCCGAUCUAGGCGAGACGAGCCGAUCGACCUGGCCUAUCUACGCGCGUUGCUCGAUCCUUAUCCUUAUCCCCUCCCCCCCCCCCGGGCUCUUCUGUGCGCUCUCCCCCUCGCCCCUUCCUCCGCCACGCCCUCCCCUCCCCCUCCCCUUUGGCCCCCCUCCCCCCUCUCCUCCUCCUCCGAUCCGCCAUACUCCCCUCCCGCCCCCUCCUAACUGGCGAGCAGUGUCGCCUGCGAUGGGCGGCCUCCCCACCGGCGGCGACCUCAGCGUGGGGAGGGAUGUAUGGGUGCGGCGACCUCGGCAUGGACAGGGACCUAGCGGCUGGCGACGAUCUCGUGCGGAGAGGGACCCGGUGGCUAGCGGCCACCUCAUGUGGAGAGGGACCUCGGCGGCGACCUCGUGCGGAGAGGGACCUCGGCGGUGACCUCACAUGGAGAGGGACCCCGGCGGUGACCUUGGUGGAUUGACGAGUGAGUUUGUGCAUCUUGCUUGUGUUCUUCAUCUGUGAUGGGAACUAUUGUUGUUUGUUGUUGAUGAUUUGUGAUGGAGAUUGUUGAUGUUCAUAUCUGUGAUUGGUGAUGGAUUGAAUUAGGGAUUGCUUGAAUGGAGAUUAUUAUUGUUCAUCUGCUUGAUUUGUGAUAUGUGAAAGCAUGCUUGAAUGGGGAUUAUUGAUGCGCAUCGGCUCGGCUUGGAGCCAGCUUCUUUUUUUUUUUUAAUCCGGAAGAGCACAAAGGUGACGGUUCUAUGACUGGCACCAAUAACACUAGGUCAUUGGUGCUGACCAAUUGGUGUCGGCUAGGAAACCGGCACCUAUUACCCGUUCCCAACCGGCACCUAUAGGGGAAUAUGUGCUUCGAUGCAAAGCACUACACACGAGUACACGGUACAUGGCUAUGUUCUUUCCCGAUCUUUCCUAACUCACCUUCUUCGUUUUUUGCGCGCAUGCUUCCCAAAGUACUAAACGGUGCGUAUUUUGAAAAAAAAUUCUAUAGAAAAGUUAUUUUAAAAAUUAAAUUAAUCUAUUUUUAAAAUUUAUUUCAGCUAAUAUUUAAUAAAUCAUGCACUAACCGCCACUCUGUUUUGCGUGUUGGGAGCUAGGGUUGUCAACCCUCACUCACUUCCGAACUCAGCCAUACAGGGCAGUUGCUCUGCUCAGAACAGAACAGCAUGUCCAGCAACCAGGCUUCUUCAUCAAAGAAUCAACCAGGCAAGGCACCUGCAAAAUCUGCAAUCACUUUCAGCUUUUUACAGAGCUGCUGCUGUUGAAACUUCGUUCUUGUUAGUUAACUUCUCUGAAAAUCCUGAAACUUGGUACUCACAUAGACUUAAAUCUGAAUCUGUGUACGUUUACGCGGUACAUGACGGGAUGCGUUUUAAGCAUUCUCAUAAUUAUAAAUUUAUAACAUGCAGAGAGGCCUAUUAUGUUUUAUUAUACAUGUAAAUUGGUUUUUGAUGAUGAAAGUGAAGUGAACUGAACCGGUGUCAGGAUACGCGUUGACGUUGUACUACUCGUACGUUCGUAGCGUGUGGCUGCAUAUGCAAUUGCAUUUAUAGUAUGCUAUAUUACACGUUGACACGCCUAUACCCACGCGGACUUGUAUUCCGUCAACGGGACAUUCUCUCGAUCGAUAAAGCUCCACAUUAAACUCUAUCC
Molecule: long non-coding RNA, 9352 nt
Filed under: Oryza sativa (Asian cultivated rice)
Lineage: Eukaryota; Viridiplantae; Streptophyta; Magnoliopsida; Poales; Poaceae
Description: long non-coding RNA (OSAT_LNC001859)
Source: RNAcentral